Molecule: ribosomal RNA, 1436 nt
Filed under: uncultured organism
Description: partial small subunit ribosomal RNA
Rfam family: Bacterial small subunit ribosomal RNA
Source: RNAcentral
GCGGCGUGCUUAACACAUGCAAGUCGAACGGAAAGGCCCUGCUUUUGUGGGGUGCUCGAGUGGCGAACGGGUGAGUAACACGUGAGUAACCUGCCCUUGACUUUGGGAUAACUUCAGGAAACUGGGGCUAAUACCGGAUAGGAGCUCCUGCUGCAUGGUGGGGGUUGGAAAGUUUCGGCGGUUGGGGAUGGACUCGCGGCUUAUCAGCUUGUUGGUGGGGUAGUGGCUUACCAAGGCUUUGACGGGUAGCCGGCCUGAGAGGGUGACCGGCCACAUUGGGACUGAGAUACGGCCCAGACUCCUACGGGAGGCAGCAGUGGGGAAUAUUGCACAAUGGGCGGAAGCCUGAUGCAGCAACGCCGCGUGCGGGAUGACGGCCUUCGGGUUGUAAACCGCUUUCGCCUGUGACGAAGCGUGAGUGACGGUAAUGGGUAAAGAAGCACCGGCUAACUACGUGCCAGCAGCCGCGGUGAUACGUAGGGUGCGAGCGUUGUCCGGAUUUAUUGGGCGUAAAGGGCUCGUAGGUGGUUGAUCGCGUCGGAAGUGUAAUCUUGGGGCUUAACCCUGAGCGUGCUUUCGAUACGGGUUGACUUGAGGAAGGUAGGGGAGAAUGGAAUUCCUGGUGGAGCGGUGGAAUGCGCAGAUAUCAGGAGGAACACCAGUGGCGAAGGCGGUUCUCUGGGCCUUUCCUGACGCUGAGGAGCGAAAGCGUGGGGAGCGAACAGGCUUAGAUACCCCUGGUAGUCCACGCUGUAAACGGUGGGUACUAGGUGUGGGGUCCAUUCCACGGGUUCCGUGCCGUAGCUAACGCUUUAAGUACCCCGCCUGGGGAGUACGGCCGCAAGGCUAAAACUCAAAGGAAUUGACGGGGCCCCGCACAAGCGGCGGAGCAUGCGGAUUAAUUCGAUGCAACGCGUAGAACCUUACCUGGGUUUGACAUGGAUCGGGAGUGCUCAGAGAUGGGUGUGCCUCUUUUGGGGUCGGUUCACAGGUGGUGCAUGGCUGUCGUCAGCUCGUGUCGUGAGAUGUUGGGUUAAGUCCCGCAACGAGCGCAACCCUUGUUCACUGUUGCCAGCACGUUAUGGUGGGGACUCAGUGGAGACCGCCGGGGUCAACUCGGAGGAAGGUGGGGAUGACGUCAAGUCAUCAUGCCCCUUAUGUCCAGGGCUUCACGCAUGCUACAAUGGCUGGUACAGAGAGUGGCGAGCCUGUGAGGGUGAGCGAAUCUCGGAAAGCCGGUCUCAGUUCGGAUUGGGGUCUGCAACUCGACCUCAUGAAGUCGGAGUCGCUAGUAAUCGCAGAUCAGCAACGCUGCGGUGAAUACGUUCCCGGGGCUUGUACACACCGCCCGUCAAGUCAUGAAAGUUGGUAACACCCGAAGCCGGUGGCCUAACCGUUGUGGGGGAGCCGUCGAAGGUGGGACUGGUGAUUAGGAC